Molecule: ribosomal RNA, 502 nt
Filed under: uncultured bacterium
Lineage: Bacteria
Description: partial 16S ribosomal RNA
Rfam family: Bacterial small subunit ribosomal RNA
Source: RNAcentral
GAUGAACGCUAGCGGGAGGCUUAACACAUGCAAGUCGAGGGGCAUCACGAGGUAGCAAUACUUUGGUGGCGACCGGCGCACGGGUGAGUAACACGUAUGCAACCUACCCUGUACAGGGGGAUAACCCGGAGAAAUUCGGACUAAUAUCCCAUGAUGAUAUUGAGGGGCACCCUUUAAUAUUUAAAGCUCAGGCGGUACGGGAUGGGCAUGCGGAACAUUAGCUAGUUGGCAGGGUAACGGCCUACCAAGGCUACGAUGUUUAGGGGACCUGAGAGGGUUAUCCCCCACACUGGUACUGAGACACGGACCAGACUCCUACGGGAGGCAGCAGUGAGGAAUAUUGGUCAAUGGGCGCAAGCCUGAACCAGCCAUCCCGCGUGAAGGAAGAAGGCGCUAUGCGUUGUAAACUUCUUUUCCAGGGGGUGAAUAAUUCCGAUGUAUCGGGAGAUGACGGUACCCUGGGAAUAAGCAUCGGCUAACUCCGUGCCAGCCGCCGCCGUAA